AAAAGACUCACAAGAAAAACUGUUUUGUUCAGAGUAAGAUUAAUAUAAAAAUUUUUGAUGCUAUGAGAUGGUCUCAUCAAUGUGCAACAAUUGAACUGGAUUUCCAACUUCCUGAGAGAUUCAACCUCACGCUAGGAUUUUAUGGCUUUCUCCCCAUCAAGUUGUAGUAAUUCCUGUCAGUAGUAAAUAUGAUGAUUAUGCCGAACCGGUAAAUUUAAUUUGAUUCAAAAGAAGUUCCAUGCAGCUGGUUAUCGUGUUGAUACAGACUUGGAUCACGGAUCAACACUAAAUAAGAAAGUUCGCAAUGCACAACUUUCACAGUACAACUUCAUUCUUGUUGUUGGUGAAAAAGAGACGGUCUCAGACACGGUCAACGUCAGAACACGUGACAACAAAGUACUCGGUGAAAAAUCGGUCAUGGCCGUGAUCGAACGCUUGCGAGAUUUAGUCAGCUCACGAAGUCUGACAAGCGAA
Molecule: long non-coding RNA, 474 nt
Organism: Xenia sp. Carnegie-2017
Lineage: Eukaryota; Metazoa; Cnidaria; Anthozoa; Malacalcyonacea; Xeniidae
Exons: 5
Source: RefSeq, a predicted model, not a curated record